This 223-nucleotide long non-coding RNA is filed under the name Elaeis guineensis (African oil palm). Its description in RNAcentral is "long non-coding RNA (EGUI_LNC049170)". Lineage: Eukaryota; Viridiplantae; Streptophyta; Magnoliopsida; Arecales; Arecaceae. The record is from RNAcentral.
UAAUAGAGAUAUUUACUUUGUUAUAUUUUUAGAACUAUCUCCUUUAGGUCUAAAAGUUAAUUUAGGAAAUAUAGGUACCAUUAAUAGGACAGAUAAAGCAAUUCAUUUUAAUAGAUCUAAAUUAAUUGAAGAUCAGUUUGUAAAGUUAUACAAAAGAAAAGAAGUAAAUGAUCACUAUAACUUAAAAGAUUUUGACUAUAAAGUUGGAUCUUAAAUAAACAAA